Molecule: ribosomal RNA, 253 nt
Filed under: uncultured bacterium
Lineage: Bacteria
Description: partial 16S ribosomal RNA
Rfam family: Bacterial small subunit ribosomal RNA
Source: RNAcentral
UACGUAGGGACCGAGCGUUGUCCGGAAUCAUUGGGCGUAAAGAGCGUGUAGGCGGCCCUUUAAGUCCUACGUGAAAUCCUGCGGCUCAACCGCAGACGGUCGUGGGAAACUGGAGGGCUAGAGUGCGGGAGAGGAGAGUGGAAUUCCCAGUGUAGCGGUGAAAUGCGCAGAUAUUGGGAAGAACACCCGUGGCGAAGGCGGCUCUCUGGAACGCAACUGACGCUGAGACGCGAAAGCGUGGGGAGCAAACAGG